CCUACGGGUGGCAGCAGUGGGGAAUAUUGGACAAUGGGGGCAACCCUGAUCCAGCCAUGCCGCGUGUGUGAAGAAGGCCCUCGGGUUGUAAAGCACUUUCAGUGAGGAAGAACGCCUGGUGGUUAAUACCCAUCAGGAAAGACAUCACUCACAGAAGAAGCACCGGCUAACUCCGUGCCAGCAGCCGCGGUAAUACGGAGGGUGCGAGCGUUAAUCGGAAUUACUGGGCGUAAAGCGCGCGUAGGUGGCUUGAUAAGCCGGUUGUGAAAGCCCCGGGCUCAACCUGGGAACGGCAUCCGGAACUGUCAAGCUAGAGUGCAGGAGAGGAAGGUAGAAUUCCCGGUGUAGCGGUGAAAUGCGUAGAGAUCGGGAGGAAUACCAGUGGCGAGGGCGGCCUUCUGGACUGACACUGACACUGAGGUGCGAAAGCGUGGGUAGCAAACAGGAUUAGAUACCCUAGUAGUC
RNAcentral lists this ribosomal RNA (465 nucleotides) under Vreelandella stevensii. Its description in RNAcentral is "partial 16S ribosomal RNA". It matches the Rfam family "Bacterial small subunit ribosomal RNA", at positions 338 to 795 of the family's 1533-position model. Lineage: Bacteria; Pseudomonadati; Pseudomonadota; Gammaproteobacteria; Oceanospirillales; Halomonadaceae. The record is from RNAcentral.